Molecule: non-coding RNA, 1344 nt
Organism: Myodes glareolus (Bank vole)
Lineage: Eukaryota; Metazoa; Chordata; Mammalia; Rodentia; Cricetidae
Source: RefSeq, a predicted model, not a curated record
AUGGAGAGAUCUAGAGAGCUUGGCCCCGCGGGAGCUGGCCCUGCGGGGACCCCGGAGGGGAGGGGGAGCCGGAAAGCCCCCGCCGAGGCCGUCGCUGUGGGGCCUCCCCCUCCCCCCCCGCCCGGGGCGGGCCCCGGGCGGGGGGGAGGGGCUCCGGCGACGCGGCAGCGCUGGAGUCGCCUGUUCGAGGAGUGGGACAGCAACAAGGACGGCAGUGUGGACGUGCACGAGUUGCGCCAGGGACUGGCCAGGCUGGGAGGGGGCCAUCCCGACCAUGCACAGCAGGGCAUCUCCUCUGAGGGGGACGCUGAUCCAGAUGGUGGCCUCAGCCUGGAGGAAUUCACCCGCUACCUGUAGGAGCGGGAGCAACGCCUUCUGCUCAUGUUUCAUAGCCUUGACCGGAACCAGGAUGGUCUCUGAGAUUCAGCAAAGCUUCCGAGCGCUGGGCAUCUCUAUCUCGCUGGAGCAGGCAGAGAAAAUCCUACACAGCAUGGACCGCGUUGGCACCAUGACCAUUGAUUGGCAGGAAUGGCGAGACCACUUUCUGCUGCACUCUCUGGAGAAUGUGGAGGAUGUCCUGUAUUUCUGGAAGCAUUCUACGGUCCUGGACAUUGGUGAAUGCCUGACGGUGUCUGAUGAGUUCUCCAAGCAGGAGAAACUUACCGGCAUGUGGUGGAAGCAGCUGGUGGCUGGCGCAGUGGCCGGCGCUGUGUCGCGGACAGGCACAGCUCCUCUGGACCGUCUCAAGGUCUUCAUGCAGGUCCAUGCCUCCAAGUCCAACCGGCUCAACAUCCUAGGGGGCCUGCGGAACAUGAUUCAAGAAGGGGGCAUCUUGUCCCUCUGGCGGGGCAAUGGUAUCAACGUGCUCAAGAUCACCCUUGAGUCAGCCAUCAAGUUCAUGGCUUACGAUCAGAUCAAGCGGGCUAUCCGGGGGCAGCAAGAGACGCUGCACGUUCAGGAGCGCUUCGUGGCUGGCUCCCUGGCCGGGGCCACAGCUCAAACCAUCAUAUACCCCAUGGAGGUACUGAAGACAAGGCUGACUCUACGGAAAACUGGCCAGUACAAGGGGCUCCUGGACUGCGCAAGGCGGAUCCUGUAGCGCGAAGGGCCCCCGUGCCUUCUACCGUGGUUACCUGCCUAACAUGCUGGGCAUCAUCCCCUAUGCUGGAAUCGAUCUAGCCGUCUACGAGGUCUGUGGAUAACCUACCAUCCCUCCCUCCCUUCUUUCUCGUUCUGGGAUCUGGCCGAGGACACUCUUUGCUUCUCAUAGCUAGGAAGGACAAUCGUAUACUUCAAAACUGCGGUGGACCUUGAAGCCCUGGAGAGCCCCUCCAGACAUCAUAC